This 254-nucleotide ribosomal RNA is filed under the name uncultured bacterium. RNAcentral describes it as "partial 16S ribosomal RNA". It matches the Rfam family "Bacterial small subunit ribosomal RNA", at positions 524 to 776 of the family's 1533-position model. The record is from RNAcentral.
CACGUAGGGUGCAAGCGUUGUCCGGAUUUAUUGGGCGUAAAGGGCCCGUAGGCGGUUUGAUAAGUCGGGUGUGAAAACUCCAGGCUCAACCUGGAGACGCCACUCGAUACUGUCAUGACUUGAGUCUGGUAGGGGAGUGCGGAAUUCCUGGUGUAGCGGUGAAAUGCAUAGAUAUCAGGAGGAACACCGGUGGCGAAGGCGGCACUCUGGGCCAGUACUGACGCUGAUGGGCGAAAGCGUGGGGAGCAAACAGG